This 131-nucleotide microRNA precursor is filed under the name Podarcis lilfordi (Lilford's wall lizard). Lineage: Eukaryota; Metazoa; Chordata; Lepidosauria; Squamata; Lacertidae. The record is from RNAcentral.
GUGUGUGUGUGUGUGUGUGUGUGUGUGUAAGGAGGGAAUAAUCUGCACACAUCCCUGCUUACUAAAUUCAGUCUUUUCUCUCUCUCUCUCUCUCUCUCUCUCUCACACACACACACACACACACACAGAGA